UUCUUCCUCUCCCACUCCCCCUGCUUGUGUUCCCUCUCUCGCUGGCUGUCUCUAUCUCUGUCAAAUAAAUAAAUAAAAUCUUUAAAAAACAAACAAACAAACAAAAACAAAACCAGUUUAAUUUUAGGCUUAUAUUUCCAGUGGAAGUACCUCCUAGACAAAAGUUCCAAGGUGUGGGCUACCUAAUUUUUUUUUCUUUAAGUUGAUGUAAAAAUUUAAUAUUUUUAAAUGUAAAGUUAAAUGUAAAGAGUUCAGUAGAUUUUCGUGCACCUAUGUGAUCCACACCCCAAUGGAGAGAACAUUUCUACCAUCCCAGAAAACUCCUUUUGGGGGCACUUAAAAUUUGAUUAAGAAAUAGGGUUGUGGAGCCAGGCCUCAAAUUAGAAAGGAGUUGUUUUCCCUCUUCUCUCCUUACUACUUUAUUUUUGCUUCCUAAACAUGCGGUAAUGGUUACUUUAAACACAAAGCAAAUUGUUGCCAGAAGAAUCCGUUGCCUUUCAACUAGUUAUGAUUUAGUGGUUACUAAUAUUGUACAUCCCUGCCCCAUUUGCUAUGGCUUUUAGUCUUUUAGAGUGAGUAGUAAAAUUUGAGUCAUGUCACUGACUCACAAGCUUCCUGAGGAUCGCCUGGUAUUUGUUAUUAGGCUGGGAGUUCAGAAUCUUGAUCAAUUGAGAGAUCGUAAUCAUGCCAAAUUGACAUAAGGCCCCCCCCUUUUCAGUUACCCUGAUUACGCCACUAUGGUCGAUUUUGCAGAUACAAGAGUGUUAAACCUGUAUGUAUAGCCGAGUCCUAGCCUUGAGCACUUCCUCCCGUCUCAAAAUUCUCAACUCCCAGUUGCCAAAGAACAAUUAGAAUAUUCACCUAAGAUACAGCACAAUCAGUUGUGAAACUCAUUGAACCCGAGAGCUGUGCGUCCCUGUCUUUAAAGAUUCUUGAAUGCGGGGAUGGGAAGAUAUGUCCUGAGGAGACUGUUACUAGUUUGGGAUCUGAGGGAGAGGGAAAGGAAAAAAAUUCACUAGUGAUUGAAAAGGGGAUUUACUCCCUGUGUUCCUUAUAGAUUUUGUGUUCUGAUUUGGAACCUGGUCUGGAACCGGAUCUGGAACUAACUCUUUUUCUGACAAGGACCAUAUGUACUGAUUCAUGGAACCUCUGUUGCCAGAGCAAUGGUGAUGGUGAUGGGGAGGAUGGCGAUGGGCAGUAAGACCUCAUAUUUGAAUACCAGUUGGACUUUUCCCCUGACACUCCAACUUAGAGAGGAUGGCAGCUCGGUGGAGAUGGAAGGAAGGUCAGCGGAGACUCAUCAAUAACCCAUUUCGGAUUGGAGAAGCCCCACCCCAAAUACGCAUUCAUUUCACUAGUGGGUUCAUUCCUCAUUUCAAAAACAGUUUCACGCAUGGCACGUUGAAGACGGCACUUCACUGUGGGCAUGGUGAAGAGGAUUUUCAUUUAUUCCAGGCUCUGUCCUCUUACCGACGAGCUAUCCCAGGAGCACCGGACAGCCUUAGACCCCCUGCUCUGCGGCGCUGCUUCUGGAAAGUUCUGACCCGCUGCUGCAGGCACUUCCUGUAGGUUUUCUGAGUAUUGGCACUUGUGGGCAUCCCCCCCUGGCUCCUCAUCACAGACCCGCGCCCAGGAGAGUACUGUGGACACAACGGCCGUAGGGGGCAGCUGCCCGGGCUUGAAGGCUGGGUUACAGAGGCUGUGCCCAUGUGAGACUCCGAUUUGUGUGGGCUUGAUUCUUUUCUGGCCUGAGUUUGGCCACCAAGCUCAAGGUUAGCCAUUAGGAUUUCAAAUCAAGAACGCAAACAAUGGGUCUGAACCCUUUUCCUGCUUUGAUAGGCACCAAGAGACACAUCCCUAAAGCACAUGGCCCCGUGGGCGUUGCUGGGUGCUGUGUCAGGUGCACUCCCUUCUCCUCUGGGACAAACCGUAUUAGACCGUAGGACGGCAGGAGGGGCACGCGCAAGGGGAAGGAGGUCUGCACGUAAGCCCUUCGACCAUGCACACCCCGCGGCUCCUCAUGGCCCCCUGCUGCAGACGGGGGUCACCCUAUCCCUGGAGAGCUGCACUGUUCAAACCCCCAUUCUUCUGUCCAGUGUCAUUCUCAGGUUUUUGCACAUUACUGGGCGGCACACCCUCUCCUCCAAACUCUGCCCUUGAACCGCCUCCUGUGCUCUAGAUGGAGAUGUCUCAAAUUAUUAGGAGGUUUUUAAUGCUUCGGUCAUUUCUGAUCCCAGGCUCCCAGGUCCUUUCUCUCUUCCUUCCCCUUCCCCUUCCUCCCACUGUCCCCUCUCCUCCCUUCCCCUCCCUCCUUUUCCUCCUCCACCCCCCAUUCCCCCCACCAAGCUCCUUCUCUGGGGAUUCCCAAAGGAAUAAGGGGACCAAGGCUGGAGCUGCCUCUUUCUGCUCUCCCUGAAGGAAAAACAGUGUUUUCCUUUUCUUCUUCCCUCUAUCAUCAUUUUCCAGCUGAGGUUGCAGAGAAAGGCACGCGAUGAGGAAGAGAGGG
This is a long non-coding RNA of Ailuropoda melanoleuca (giant panda), 2506 nucleotides long. RefSeq lists it as uncharacterized. The transcript has 2 exons. The record is from RefSeq and is a predicted model, not a curated record. NCBI's taxonomy places the organism in Eukaryota, Metazoa, Chordata, Mammalia, Carnivora, Ursidae.